AACGCAUAUUGCGCUCGAGGCUUCGGCCAAGAGCAUGUCUGCCUCAGCGUCGCUUUACCCCCUCACUCCCCAAUCUCUGGGUGCAGUGGAACUGGCUUUCGCAGUGCCGUUUAUUCGGCGCUGCGUCGGCUGAAGCGCAGAGGUUGAUGCACGGACCCGUAAAGGGCCUCGGCUGGGUAGGCAAUUUUUUGCUAAUGCUUUAGCCGUUGGCUUGGGACUGUGCUUGUCGACCCAAACCAGGAAAAGGCGUUCGCGCCUUCUUUCUAACUUCGACCUGAGCUCAGGCAAGAACACCCGCUGAACUUAA
RNAcentral lists this unclassified non-coding RNA (307 nucleotides) under uncultured fungus. RNAcentral's name for it is "partial contains 5.8S rRNA and ITS2". Lineage: Eukaryota; Fungi. The record is from RNAcentral.